This 1064-nucleotide unclassified non-coding RNA is filed under the name Caenorhabditis elegans. RNAcentral describes it as "Non-coding transcript of protein-coding gene nhr-152". Lineage: Eukaryota; Metazoa; Nematoda; Chromadorea; Rhabditida; Rhabditidae. The record is from RNAcentral.
GUUCCCUUCACCCUUCAACUGUAAAAUAUGUAAUCGGCCGGCACAUGGUCAUCAUUGUGACGUGGCAACUUGUAAGGGCUGCAAAACGUUUUUCCGUCGGAUGUAUUUAUUGAAAUCUGAGCUACGGUGCUAUAUAAAUAGUGACUGUUUUGAUUUAGACAAGAGAACUGAACCACUUCUUCGUUGUCGAGCUUGCCGCUUCAAAAAAUGUCUUUUAGUUGGAAUGAACCCAAAUGCUUUAAAUUUUCGAACAACUAAAAACUUGACUCAAAGCUUAAAAAACUCCAAAGAAGAGAAAAUUAAAGAUACUAUCGGCUUAUAACCCAAAUUGGACCGAAAUUGGAGGACUGGAAGAUUUGUUACGUUGCUCCAGCAAACUGAGCCUUUCUAAUAAAUUUGGGCCUUUCCCUGGAUGGCCUUACCACCCAAAUCAUAUUUUUGCUAGCUCAAAUUUGGAUUAUAAUUUCAAAACUUAUUCACCUCAUAGAAAACAGUGGAGAUUUUUCAAUUUGCUCACAUCAAUCGAAUUCUUGAAAACCUUCCCAUUUUUUCUAAAACUUGACACAAAGGACCAGUUGAUCUUGAUGAGGCAUGUUGUAGUUGGUUGUUCAAAUUUACAUUCUGCAUAUUACACAUUGAAAAAUAAAUAUGAAGAUCUUCGCCAACCGGAUGGCACUCAACGACCCAAAAAAUCUGAACCCCAGUAUUCUACAUUUGCAAUGGUGUUUUAUGCUCUGAUGAGAGUUGGAGUUCACUACAUUGAAUACUUAUUGCUCAAAAUGAUAUUCAUCUGUAAUCCAGCGAUUCCCAAUCUGUCAAGCAACGCUCAAUACAAACUAGAAAAAGGUCGAAGUUUUUACUCUGAAAUGUUGCUGGUUUACUGUCUUCAAAGUUUGAAUUCCAGCGGCCCAACUCGAUAUGUAGAUCUGAUUGGAGUUAUUGCUACUCUGGAAAAGCAGCAGAAACUACUGAAAGAUCUUCAUGUUUGUCUCCUUGCUCCAAUGUUGUCAAUUCUUCCAAAAGAAUUCAGCAGGAGUUUGAUGUAUGAAAUGAUUUUUAGUUAA